This 269-nucleotide ribosomal RNA is filed under the name uncultured bacterium. RNAcentral's name for it is "partial 16S ribosomal RNA". It matches the Rfam family "Bacterial small subunit ribosomal RNA", at positions 524 to 795 of the family's 1533-position model. The record is from RNAcentral.
UACGUAGGGCGCAAGCGUGUCCGGAAUUAUUGGGCGUAAAAGAGCCGUAGGCGGUUUGUCGCGUCUGCUGUGAAAGCCCGGGGCUCAACCCCGGGUCUGCAGUGGGUACGGGCAGACUAGAGUGCAGUAGGGGAGACUGGAAUUCCUGGUGUAGCGGUGAAAUGCGCAGAUAUCAGGAGGAACACCGAUGGCGAAGGCAGGUCUCUGGGCUGUUACUGACGCUGAGGAGCGAAAGCAUGGGGAGCGAACAGGAUUAGAUACCCGGUGUC